RNAcentral lists this ribosomal RNA (947 nucleotides) under uncultured bacterium. RNAcentral describes it as "bacterial SSU rRNA". It matches the Rfam family "Bacterial small subunit ribosomal RNA", at positions 8 to 956 of the family's 1533-position model. The record is from RNAcentral.
AGAGUUUGAUCCUGGCUCAGAACGAACGCUGGCGGCGUGCUUAACACAUGCAAGUCGAGUGCGCGUACCGUAGCAAUACGGUAUGGCGCACGGCGCACGGGUGCGUAACACGUGGGCAAUCUGCCCUUCGAUGGGGAAUAUCUUCGGGAAACCGAAGCGAAUUCCGCAUAACAUUCCUUGGACUUCGGUUCGAGGACUCAAAGCCGUAAGGCGUCGAAGGAGGAGCCCGCGCCCGAUUAGCUAGUUGGUGAGGUAACGGCUCACCAAGGCAAUGAUCGGUAGCUGGUCUGAGAGGAUGGCCAGCCACACUGGAACUGAGACACGGUCCAGACUCCUACGGGAGGCAGCAGUGGGGAAUCUUGCGCAAUGGGCGAAAGCCUGACGCAGCGACGCCGCGUGGGGGAUGAAGCAUCUCGGUGUGUAAACCCCUUUCGACUGGGACGAAUGCCUCGCAAGAGGAGUGACGGUACCAGUAGAAGAAGCCCCGGCUAACUACGUGCCAGCAGCCGCGGUAAGACGUAGGGGGCCAGCGUUGUUCGGAAUUACUGGGUGUAAAGGGUUCGUAGGCGGUGUGGCAAGUCGGGAGUGAAAUUUCUGGGCUUAACCCAGAAGCUGCUUCCGAAACUGCUGUGCUUGAGUGUGGGAGAGGCGCGUGGAAUUGCAGGUGUAGCGGUGAAAUGCGUAGAUAUCUGCAGGAACACCCGUGGCGAAAGCGGCGCGCUGGACCACUACUGACGCUGAGGAACGAAAGCUAGGGGAGCAAACAGGAUUAGAUACCCUGGUAGUCCUAGCCCUAAACGAUCAGGACUUGGGGUGCCACCCGUUCGGGUGUCGUCCCGGAGCUAACGCGUUAAGUCCUGCACCUGGGGAGUACGGUCGCAAGACUGAAACUCAAAGGAAUUGACGGGGCCCGCACAAGCGGUGGAACAUGGUGGUUCAAUUCGACG